RNAcentral lists this ribosomal RNA (428 nucleotides) under uncultured bacterium. RNAcentral describes it as "partial 16S ribosomal RNA". It matches the Rfam family "Bacterial small subunit ribosomal RNA", at positions 354 to 796 of the family's 1533-position model. The record is from RNAcentral.
GUGGGGAAUAUUGGUCAAUGGGGGAAACCCUGAACCAGCAACGCCGCGUGAAGGAAGAAGGCUUUCGGGUUGUAAACUUCUUUGACAGGGGACGAAACAAAUGACGGUACCCUGAAAACAAGCCACGGCUAACUACGUGCCAGCAGCCGCGGUAAUACGUAGGUGGCAAGCGUUGUCCGGAUUUACUGGGUGUAAAGGGCGUGUAGGCGGGACGGUAAGUCAGAUGUGAAAUGUAGGGGCUCAACCCCUGAACUGCAUUUGAAACUAUCGUUCUUGAGUGAUGGAGAGGCAGGCGGAAUGCCGUGUGUAGCGGUGAAAUGCGUAGAUAUACGGAGGAACACCAGUGGCGAAGGUGGCCUGCUGGACAUUAACUGACGCUGAGGCGCGAAAGCGUGGGGAGCAAACAGGAUUAGAAACCCCAGUAGUCC